AAAAUUUAAAAUUAAAAUACUAAAAUAGUAGAUAAGUAUUUAUUAAAACUUAAAUAAUUUGGCGGUAUUUUAGUUCAUUUAGAGGAAUCUGUUUAAUAAUUGAUAUUCCACGAAUAAAUUUACUUAAUUUAUUAUUUUGUAUAUCGUUGUUAUAAAAAUAUUUUUUAAUAAAAUUAAUAUUUAAAAAUUAAUAUUUUAAAUUUAAAUCAGAUCAAGAUGCAGAUUAUAAUUAAGAAUAUAAUGGAUUACAAUAAAUUUAUUUAAAUGAAUUUUAAUUUGUAAAAAUUAAUUGAAAGUGGAUUUAAAUGUAAUUUUGUUUAAUUUAAUAAAAUGAUUAAAAAUUAAAAUAUGU
Molecule: ribosomal RNA, 352 nt
Filed under: Busseola sp. BUKEG3236
Lineage: Eukaryota; Metazoa; Arthropoda; Insecta; Lepidoptera; Noctuidae
Also listed under: 1 other name
Description: partial 12S small subunit ribosomal RNA
Source: RNAcentral